This 520-nucleotide ribosomal RNA is filed under the name Gonatus kamtschaticus. RNAcentral's name for it is "partial 16S ribosomal RNA". It matches the Rfam family "Bacterial large subunit ribosomal RNA", at positions 1817 to 2600 of the family's 2925-position model. The record is from RNAcentral. Lineage: Eukaryota; Metazoa; Mollusca; Cephalopoda; Oegopsida; Gonatidae.
GUCUCUUUGUUAAUUUUAAAUAAAGAGUCGGGCCUGCUCGGUGAAUAUUGAUUUUUUUUUAACGGCUGCGGUAUUUUAACUGUACUAAGGUAGCAUAAUAAUUUGCCUUAUAAUUUGAGGCUAGAAUGAAUGGUUUGACGAAGGUUAAUCUGUCUCUACUUUAUUUAUUAGAAUUUAAUUUUUAUAGUGAAAAAGCUUGUAUUUUUUAAAGGGACGAGAAGACCCUAUUGAGCUUAUAAUUUUAUCAUUAUUAGGUUUAUUAUUAAUAUAGUGAUGUAUAAAUUUUAAUUGGGGUGAUUAAGGAAUAAAUUUAAUUUAGUAACUUCCUUAAGUUUUAUAUUGUUGAAUAAAGUAACCAAUAAAUUAUUGCUUAUAAUAUAGUUACCAUAGGGAUAACAGCGUAAUUCAUUUAGAGAGUUCUUAUUGAAAAAUGAGAUUGCGACCUCGAUGUUGGAUUAAAGUAACCUUAAGGUGCAGAAGCUUUAAUAAGGUAAAUCUGUUCGAUUUUUAAAACUUUACA